AGGAGCUCAGGACACUUUCCCACCAGCCUCUUCCCAUAUGGGUGAAGCCCAAGUCCUGGAGCUUCCGGCUUUCCCUUUUGAUUCUGAAGAGCCUUUUCUCCUUUCAACAAAUCCUGCCUCUCUUGCAGGAAAAGACAGGUUGAGCCACAGAAGAGAAUUACAGGACCAGAAACAUUCAAACAUUUACUGUUUGAGAAGUUAUCAGAGUACUCAUCUACAAGCAGAUGAACUCUUUCUCCAAAUAAAACUUGAAGUGAAGCCCCAACAUAUGACACAAAAAAGAGUGGAGCUGUCCCCUGGAAGCUGGACAAAGAACCUGGCUGGCUUAUUCCUGUCGUCACUCCAGAGAACUUCAGACUCCGCUCUGGAGACACUGAAGAACGAAGCUUGCAGACCUGUGUUUUACUCCGUAUGCAUGCUGAACUGCUUGCUGGCUGACAGUUUGCAGAAAGAAUAAAGUUAAAUCC
This 467-nucleotide long non-coding RNA is filed under the name Cricetulus griseus (Chinese hamster). RNAcentral describes it as "lncRNA (ENSCGRG00015039878.1)". The record is from RNAcentral. Lineage: Eukaryota; Metazoa; Chordata; Mammalia; Rodentia; Cricetidae.